This 628-nucleotide long non-coding RNA is filed under the name Felis catus (domestic cat). Its description in RNAcentral is "lncRNA (ENSFCAG00000048597.1)". The record is from RNAcentral. Lineage: Eukaryota; Metazoa; Chordata; Mammalia; Carnivora; Felidae.
UGGGGAUCAUCUUUACAUUAAACAGCACCCCACCGCCAUAUUGAAAUGUUGGCACUCCCCGCGGUCUUUAAAAAACAUUGAGAAAACUAGAUCUUGUCCUAUUAGAAAGACUCUCUGAAGGAAAUUAAAAGCUAGGAGAAACGGGCUGUAUCUAAAUUUACGUGGAUAAUUACUAGAAAAGUUGUCUACUGGAAUCAGAGCUUUGAUCUAAUUUCUUCUAUUUCCAAAAGGAAUAUACUCUGCUUCUCAGCUGGUCUGGACCAGAUUUGCUAAAACAGAUGAAGAGGACCCUUGAGAUCCCUAGUGUCAACAGACAGAACACCGAAGCUUUGAUCUCAACGCAGAGACUGUCAUCAGUCACUGUACUUUGGAGAUGUUCCCCUUGGAAGCCCAUCAACAAAUUGGAAAAUUUACAGGAUUCUAAGAGCUAGAAAAGUUUUCCUACCUGUAGGUUGACCAACUCUGGUUCCAGGGAUAAUCUUCUCCCCCACCAGCAAGACAGCUGACUGCAACAAUAUAAGUGACCCCUGAUAUAGGAAAAUGGGUGAGACACUUACUGGCUCUCUUUUUCAGUAUGUUCAUAAAACCUGCUAUAAUUCUUAAUAAAAAUUCAGGCGGCUUAUGAGCA